UGAGGAAUAUUGGACAAUGGGCGCAAGCCUGAUCCAGCCAUGCCGCGUGCAGGAAGAAGCAUCUAUGGGGUGUAAACUGCUUUUGUACGGGAAGAAACACUCCUUCGUGAAGGAGCUUGACGGUACCGUAAGAAUAAGGAUCGGCUAACUCCGUGCCAGCAGCCGCGGUAAUACGGAGGAUCCAAGCGUUAUCCGGAAUCAUUGGGUUUAAAGGGUCCGUAGGCGGUGUAGUAAGUCCGUGGUGAAAGCCCAUCGCUCAACGCUGGAACUGCCAUUGAUACUGCUAGACUUGAAUGAUUAGGAGGUAGCUAGAAUAUGUAGUGUAGCGGUGAAAUGCUUAGAUAUUACGUGGAAUACCAGUUGCGAAGGCAAGUUACUACUAAUGGAUUGACGCUGAUGGACGAAAGCGUGGGGAGCGAACA
RNAcentral lists this ribosomal RNA (422 nucleotides) under uncultured bacterium. RNAcentral describes it as "bacterial SSU rRNA". It matches the Rfam family "Bacterial small subunit ribosomal RNA", at positions 355 to 774 of the family's 1533-position model. The record is from RNAcentral.